GAUGAAGAACGUAGCGAAAUGCGAUACGUAAUGUGAAUUGCAAAUUCAGUGAAUCAUCGAGUCUUUGAACGCACAUUGCGCCCCCUGGUAUUCCGGGGGGCAUGCCUGUCCGAGCGUCAUUGCUGCCCUCAAGCACGGCUUGUGUGUUGGGCCCCGUCCUCCGAUCCCGGGGGACGGGCCCGAAAGGCAGCGGCGGCACCGCGUCCGGUCCUCGAGCGUAUGGGGCUUUGUCACCCGCUCUGUAGGCCCGGCCGGCGCUUGCCGAUCAACCCAAGUUUUUAUCCAGGUUGACCUCGGAUCAGGUAGGGAUACCCGCUGAACUUAAGCAUAUCAAUAAGCGGAGGA
RNAcentral lists this unclassified non-coding RNA (345 nucleotides) under soil metagenome. RNAcentral describes it as "partial contains 5.8S ribosomal RNA, internal transcribed spacer 2, and large subunit ribosomal RNA". The stretch from base 1 to 119 matches the Rfam family "5.8S ribosomal RNA", at positions 35 to 154 of the family's 154-position model. The record is from RNAcentral.